Molecule: ribosomal RNA, 432 nt
Filed under: uncultured bacterium
Lineage: Bacteria
Description: partial 16S ribosomal RNA
Rfam family: Bacterial small subunit ribosomal RNA
Source: RNAcentral
CCUACGGGGGGCAGCAGUGGGGAAUUUUGGACAAUGGGCGCAAGCCUGAUCCAGCAAUGCCGCGUGUGUGAAGAAGGCCUUCGGGUUGUAAAGCACUUUUUAGAGAGUUCCGGUACCUGAAGAAUAAGCACCGGCUAACUACGUGCCAGCAGCCGCGGUAAUACGUAGGGUGCAAGCGUUAAUCGGAAUUACUGGGCGUAAAGCGUGCGCAGGCGGUUUGUUAAGACGGAUGUGAAAUCCCCGGGCUCAACCUGGGAACUGCAUUCGUGACUGGCAAGCUAGAGUAUGGCAGAGGGGGGUGGAAUUCCACGUGUAGCAGUGAAAUGCGUAGAGAUGUGGAGGAACACCGAUGGCGAAGGCAGCCCCCUGGGCCAAACUGACGCUCAUGCACGAAAGCGUGGGGAGCAAACAGGAUUAGAUACCCUUGUAGUC